AAAGGACUGGGUUCAGAGGGCUUUUGGAGAGCUGGACAUGUGGAGGCCGACAGGAAGGUGAAGAAGUCAUCUGCGUGCUGUGAGGGUGGCGCACCCCAACUCCAUGGGGACAGAAGGUCCUGCAUUUAGGACCCUUCCAGACCUCACACCUAUGUAUCUCUUCAUCUGGCUGAUUACUUAUAUCCUUUCAAAGACGCUUCUUAGUAAACUGGACCACCUGAUAGGGUACUGAGGAUGGCUUCUGACCUGGAGGCAUCAAGGACCUGAAGGCAGUAACCAUUUCAGAGGACAGCCACAUCCCUCAAAUUACAAACAUCUAAAAUGUCCAUUAACUGUUGAGUGGAUAUAUAAAUUCUGAUGUUUUAUAAAAUGGCAUACCCUACAUCAAUGAAGAUGAAUGAAUUACUUCUGCAUAAAACAAUAUACAUGCAUCUAACCAAUAUGACACUGAGUGAAAAAAGACAUCCAUAGAAGAGCACAGCUCACCAUUCAGGAGCAUCACCCUGGUCCAAGCCACCUUCAGCUCUCACCUAGACUAACACAGUUCUUCCUGUCUCCAUGAGCCUCCUCUCCAGUUGCUGUAUUGCAAAUAACAAUCAAAACAGCAUUUAAAAGCAAAACAACAACAGCAAACAAAUGGUAUCUAUCCAGGUCUCACUGCAUUGUCCUCACGGCACUUGGGAGCCAGGGGAACUGACACGUGAUGUUCAUACUUACUGCUAUUCUCGGAGUAACAAAAAAAAAAUUCACUUUCUUCGACCAGGAGACAUCAUGUUUUCUACCAGCAUUCUUGAAACUAUGGCAAGUUAACUAGUUAUCAGGCAUUUCCUUGGAUCUGAAUCAUCCAUCAGCAUUGCUCAGAAAUCACGUCCUUUCCUUUCAUUCUGUCUCAUACAUUUUCCAGGUUCCACGUUUUGUAUGGGAGUCAGAGUGUGAUAGUUAAUUUUAUGCAUCAACUUGGCUAGACCAAUGUGCCCACAUACUUAGUCAAACAUUAUCUUG
This 1002-nucleotide long non-coding RNA is filed under the name Homo sapiens (human). RNAcentral describes it as "HSALNT0325091". Lineage: Eukaryota; Metazoa; Chordata; Mammalia; Primates; Hominidae. The record is from RNAcentral.